This 342-nucleotide unclassified non-coding RNA is filed under the name uncultured fungus. Its description in RNAcentral is "partial contains small subunit ribosomal RNA, internal transcribed spacer 1, and 5.8S ribosomal RNA". The stretch from base 1 to 73 matches the Rfam family "Eukaryotic small subunit ribosomal RNA", at positions 1759 to 1831 of the family's 1831-position model. Lineage: Eukaryota; Fungi. The record is from RNAcentral.
UCAAACUUGGUCAUUUAGAGGAAGUAAAAGUCGUAACAAGGUUUCCGUAGGUGAACCUGCGGAAGGAUCAUUAAAAAUUUAAUUAUCCUGCUAAAUUAUAUGGAUAAUAAAAAUCCAUAUUCAUUUCAUGUGCAUCUAUCGAUCGUAUACUUUGACAGAUCGUUCUUUCUUGAUUUCAUUUUUAGAAAGAUGGAGAUUGAAUCUCGGGGGUCUGUCAAAGUUUUCCUUUUUCUCCUCUGAAAUCCUUGAAAUUCUGAAAAUUUUCAUUUCAUAUACAUAUGUAAACCAAAUACAACUUUCAACAACGGAUCUCUUGGCUCUCGCAUCGAUGAAGAACGCAGC